Long non-coding RNA from Bombus pascuorum, 2794 nucleotides. RefSeq lists it as uncharacterized. The transcript has 2 exons. The record is from RefSeq and is a predicted model, not a curated record. Lineage: Eukaryota; Metazoa; Arthropoda; Insecta; Hymenoptera; Apidae.
UAAUUUAACGUCUUUUUUCCGUAUGCUGCUUACCAUUCAUCUUCUAUUUAUAUAUUCCCUAACAAAGCCCCAUAUUUAUUGAUAUGUAUGAACAAUUUCAUUAAUUGUUCUACUCUACUCCUGUACGUUUCUUUACUAUUCUUUGUGGUGAUGAUCACAUCAGUGUUAAAAUAUAUAAAACACAAGAAUCAAUGGUAUAUUUUGUUUUCCAAUACUUUUUUUUUGGGAAGUGUAUAAAUAGUCGUAUGUAAACUACUAUCGUGUUUUAGUAAAUUCUCUAAAUAUGAUAAGCACAAUCAAUCAACUCAAGCUAACGCCAAAAAAUCUAAGAUAUUACACUAUUAUUAGGUAUAAUAAUAGAUUUCAUCAGUAUCUGUAGGCAUCUUUAGCCUGAAAUCAAUUUAUUUGCAACAUUUGAAGAUCAUUUUCAAAUAUAUUAAAAAGUUAAAUAUGAUUUUUCUGUUACAGAGUUGCACCUUUUAUAUUGCUUUCAUGUUACAAAAAGUUACACGAAUAUGUAUUUACCCUAAAUUAUAUACAUAUAUUAUAUCGUCACGAUAUUUCUGCUUAUGACAAAGAAAUCGUUUGGAAAUUAAAAAUUUCGUUAACCUUAUUACAAAUGCCGUAUGAUAUCAUAUACUCAAUAAUAAGAUAAAGAUUUUUUUAAACAUAUAUUGACAAAUGACGAAUAGGAAAAGAUAGUAUUAUUUUUUAAGUCUCUUUUGAUAAACCGUAACGGUCAUAUAUUAUGGCUUUAUUUCAUUUUCUCCCACAUUUUUUUUUAGAAAAUUCAGUCAAGCCAUCUUUAAUUCGGCUUUUUUAUUUAACAAUAUUGAAAAAUUGUUAUGAAACAAUUCGUUAUUUAAUUCCAUAGUUGUCUUAUCAUUUUAUUUUUAUAUGUUACUAUUUUACUUUUUUUUAAUUAUUUCAAUUUAAUAGAGUGGAAAAAUAAUAUAAUAGUUCAUAUAUUUCAUAUUUGAAACGAAAUAUUUAUAAUUAGAAUUAGAAUAGAAUAAUUUAAUAAUUUUCAAAAUUUUUUUUAUAUAGGUUCAUAUUUAUUAGAUUUACUUUAUAUAUUUAUAUAAGUUUGUAUAACUUGUAUAUUUAUAUUUAGUUUGUGUUAUUUGCAAUAUUAGAUAAAAAAAUAGUAAAAGAAGACUACUAAAGUAAUAUUUCCGGCAAAAAUAAGGAGCAAUAUGUGUAUAAAGUUGUCUAUCACUACGUGUCGUUAUCAUUGUUGAGGUGGGGCUUCGAUAUCGAUGAGGGUACUCAGAACAAGAUUUUUCUAUCAGUUAGCUCAGGUAUAUAUAAAGCUCACCACGUAGUCGACUGUUUAUUAGUGUUCUGAUUACAUUUUUUUAUAUAGGAGGUUUUCUAACGUUCGUAUCGUACCGUAUAUGCACAAAGCAUCUUUGCGGUUUUAUGUGAGUGGAACGUUUAAAGAGUGAUAAAGAUCUUUAGUAUUUGCCCACAAAAUAAUUGCGAUUGGUUCUUCUGGGAAGCUCCCAAGUGUCGGUGAAAUUAACCAGUGAUAUUUUGAAAUAAUUCUUUGGUAGUAGUUCUUGACUUUAGUUUUGUUACAUUUUGUUACUACGGGGGUCAGAUUCAUAAUAUAUGAUUUUACAUAUCGAUUUGAAUUGGAAUAUGUUGAUAAAAUUGUGAUCCUACAUAAGUAAGUAUUUUAAUUUUCAAAUUAAUGCGAUCGAUUUAAAAUUAAUCGGAAGAUAAAUAUGUUAAAAUUUGAUUUGAAUAAAACAUAGUACAAUUGCAAUACAUAUUUCGUAGCAGAAACAAUGUAAGUUUAUUCCAUUAACAAAUAUAUUAGUAUUUAAUUGUUUUUACUUAUUUACAAAUUUUUAUCCUAUCUUGCGUACACUGUGUUAUUUAUAGUUCUAUUUAACGUUUCACAUAUUACUGUAUUAAAAAAAUGUUUUUCUAUCAAAAUUCAAAUACGCAAUCGAUAUUUGGUGAAUAAAAAGAGGUUUUUUUCCAGUAGAGAUUACAAAUUUACCGAAAUCUCUUGAAAGAUUUCUAGGUGAGCUGGCAAAAAGAAGUUGAUUUCCUUCGUUGAUACUGCAUGGGCGUUGCAUGGGCUGUGAUCUGCAUGACUUGCAGUUGGAAGUGAGGAUCUAGGCAGUGAGCAGCAGCGCUCUGAUAACUUGCCAGAUCUAACUCUUCCAGCUCAAGGUCUUGUUGAUUAUCAUCUUUUCGUAAGAAAUGGAUAUUUCUCGUCAUAUCAAAAUCGAUAUCCAAAUCGAAAUUCAAACGAAGCAUCAGAAUUGAAUAAUAUAUAGAAGAUAGGGGUUCAUGGUUCAAGUGGAGAAGUGGUCUCUACGCUUUGAAUUAAAGUGAGAUUCAACUCCUCCAACUUAAUCCUGAUCCCUGAAGUUCCUCGUUUCUUUAUUCGUGUCUUCUUUAUCUGCAGAAUAUCUUUUCACUACAGAUGUAUCAGUAACGUAAGUGAAGAUAAGUGAAGCUUUCGUGGAAUCAUUCUAUUGGCGCUUCUUAAUACCUUGCUGGACAGGCAUGUUGCAAUAGCGAUAAAAUCUUUUAAAACGGUUCUUAUCGUGAAAGCGUUUAACUGCGUAUAAUUGUUCGUGCGAUUCAAUUUAGUCGAUAAUAUUCUUUGUGCGUUAUAAAUAUACUUUCUUUACGAAUAUUGUUUUUUCAGUUUUAUUUGUCGUGCUAUUUUAAGCGGUCAAAACACUUGUAUCUCUUUGUAUUUUUCAAAUAAAUCGAAUUUUUAUAAACUGCAUUAUUUGAAACUUGAAAUAAAUAUUUCUUAUGAUAUUCA